Molecule: ribosomal RNA, 497 nt
Filed under: uncultured bacterium
Lineage: Bacteria
Description: partial 16S ribosomal RNA
Rfam family: Bacterial small subunit ribosomal RNA
Source: RNAcentral
GACGAACGCUGGCGGCGUGCCUAAUACAUGCAAGUUGAGCGCUGAAGGUUGGUACUUGUACCAACUGGAUGAGCAGCGAACGGGUGAGUAACGCGUGGGGAAUCUGCCUUUGAGCGGGGGACAACAUUUGGAAACGAAUGCUAAUACCGCAUAAAAACUUUAAACACAAGUUUUAAGUUUGAAAGAUGCAAUUGCAUCACUCAAAGAUGAUCCCGCGUUGUAUUAGCUAGUUGGUGAGGUAAAGGCUCACCAAGGCGAUGAUACAUAGCCGACCUGAGAGGGUGAUCGGCCACAUUGGGACUGAGACACGGCCCAAACUCCUACGGGAGGCAGCAGUAGGGAAUCUUCGGCAAUGGACGAAAGUCUGACCGAGCAACGCCGCGUGAGUGAAGAAGGUUUUCGGAUCGUAAAACUCUGUUGGUGGAGAAGAACGUUGGUGAGAGUGGAAAGCUCAUCAAGUGACGGUAACUACCCAGAAAAGGACGGCUAACUACGUG